Long non-coding RNA from Pan troglodytes (chimpanzee), 852 nucleotides. RefSeq lists it as uncharacterized. The record is from RefSeq and is a predicted model, not a curated record. NCBI's taxonomy places the organism in Eukaryota, Metazoa, Chordata, Mammalia, Primates, Hominidae. The transcript is spliced from 3 exons.
CUUGGCUGCAGCACUCAAAGGAGAGUGAAACACAGGCCAGCUGCUUCCUGAGACCCUGGAGUUAUCUCUGUUUGGAAGACACUUAAGCCACCCACCCAGCGAGAUUCAGACCACAAGUUCUGUCUCAUCUUCUAUGGAUUCCCACAUCAGUCAGUUCAGUUUUGGAAGACUUUGCUCUGCUGUUUGGAUGCAUGAGAAGAAGCACCCCCUUUUCUCCUGUUCUUCUUUGCUGGAUCAAGUCAUAUCUUCACAUAUUGUCUGGAAUUGCUACAGCUAUUUUGAAACCCAAAGUGAAAGCAUCAUCAACCUGCUGAGGAUAGCAAGGCAGAAAGACAAACUCAUCGGUGGACCUGGAUCUGUGACGACUUCAUCAAGGCUCUGAGCCAAUCGUGGACCACCUGGCCUCCAGACAUCAUCUUAUGUGAAAUGAUGGCUGUCCUUAUUGUGUAAGCUAUUUGGUUUGAGUAUGUUCUGCCUAGCAGCUAGAAGCGUCCAACUGAUGCCAAUGCUUCUGGUAAAAGUUGCGAUUAAAGCAGAUAAUGGUGUUAGCUGACAUGCUGAUAAAAUCGGAAUCAGUACAUAGCCAAGUCACGGAUCUGGUGGAAAGUAUUCAAAUAGAUCAAUGCAUGCUUGGUGAUGCUGGUGCCUGUCAUCAUAAACAUCCAUCCAGGCCAUCAUGAUCACCUCCGAAUGGUACAGGACUAAAGUCCAACUCAGGAUCUACACACCCUGCUUAUAAUAAUGCCCUAACUUCCUUUGAAGAUGAAACACAUUUCUCUGUGUUCUUUGAACUAUUGUACAGAAAAACUUCCCCAGGAAACUCUUUGAACUCAUAUUUGUUUGUUUCUCAUU